RNAcentral lists this ribosomal RNA (568 nucleotides) under Anax amazili. RNAcentral describes it as "eukaryotic LSU rRNA". It matches the Rfam family "Eukaryotic large subunit ribosomal RNA", at positions 1417 to 1912 of the family's 3401-position model. Lineage: Eukaryota; Metazoa; Arthropoda; Insecta; Odonata; Aeshnidae. The record is from RNAcentral.
CCGAGCCUGCCUGGAGCCGCCGCCGGUGCAGAUUCUUGGUGGUAGUAGCAAAUACUCCAGCGAGGCCCUGGAGGACUGAUGUGGAGAAGGGUUUCGUGUGAACAGCCGUUGCACACGAGUCAGUCGAUCCUAAGCCCUAUGAGAAAUCCGAUACUAACGGCGAUGGGAAAUAAGUGAAAAGAACGUUUUCUUACGAAGUGAAGCGGCCCAUUGAUCGGGCGAAAGGGAAUCCGGUUCCUAUUCCGGAACCCGGCAGCGGAACCGUAGUUUGUCGGGCCUUCGGGUUCGUCAGGGUAACCUAAAAGGGCCCGGAGACGCCGUCGGGAGCCCCGGAAAGAGUUUUCUUUUCUGCAUGAGCGUUCGAGUUCCCUGGAAUCCUCUCGCAGGGAGAUAGGGUUUGGAACGCGAAGAGCACCGCAGUUGCGGCGGUGCCCGGGAAUUCCCGACGGACCUUGAAAAUCCGGGAGAGGGCCACGUGGAGGUGUCGCGCCGGCUCGUACCCAUAUCCGCAGCAGGUCUCCAAGGUGAAGGAGCCUCUAGUCCAUAGAAAUAAAUGUAGUGAAGGGAA